This 459-nucleotide ribosomal RNA is filed under the name uncultured bacterium. RNAcentral's name for it is "partial 16S ribosomal RNA". It matches the Rfam family "Bacterial small subunit ribosomal RNA", at positions 29 to 507 of the family's 1533-position model. The record is from RNAcentral.
AUUGAACGCUGGCGGCAGGCCUAACACAUGCAAGUCGAGCGGAUGAAGGGAGCUUGCUCCUGGAUUCAGCGGCGGACGGGUGAGUAAUGCCUAGGAAUCUGCCUGGUAGUGGGGGAUAACGUCCGGAAACGGGCGCUAAUACCGCAUACGUCCUGAGGGAGAAAGUGGGGGAUCUUCGGACCUCACGCUAUCAGAUGAGCCUAGGUCGGAUUAGCUAGUUGGUGGGGUAAAGGCCUACCAAGGCGACGAUCCGUAACUGGUCUGAGAGGAUGAUCAGUCACACUGGGAGUGAGAAAAGGUGAAGACUAAGAGAGGAGGAAGAAGUGGGGAAUAGUGGAAAAUGGGAGAAAGGAUGAGCAAGAAAUGCAGAGUGAGUGAUGAAGGAAUUAGGGAAGGAAAGCUCUUGUACCAGAGACGAUAAUGACAGUAUCGGGAGAAGAAGAUCCGGAUAACUCCGUG